CUCACUCUAGGGCAAUAUAUCAGAGCAAUUUUGAUAGCUUACGGAUCACUUAAUUGGUUUACAUACCAACAUUUUUGAACCAGAAGGCGCGGAAGUCACGAUGGCCCGGUGGUGGGUGUCUUGUGCACGCUACAGCCUGGGGGCGCAAAACAGUUGAAAGUGUGAGUGGACCAAAAAUAAAGGUUCAUAAAAUAUCUAAGAAUAUACUAACCCCCGGUGUAAAAAUAAGGAAAUAAAUCCAAACACGUAUUCUACAUUUAAAGCAUACUAAACUCAAGGCAUUAUAUGUAAAUCAUAUUCGAACUCGAUACUUCUCGCAUAAAAACAAUGAAAUCAAAUACAGUUGAGUAAAACUGAAUAUCUAAACUAUCUUGGAAACAUAUGAAAGCCAACGCAGUUACAUAUUUAUAGAAAUAUAUGCAAUCGCUUUCAAGAGCAAUAAAACUUGCAUGAAAGCACUGAAAUCCAAUUUGCAUAAAAGUGCUGAAAUCAAACCUGCAAUAAAGCAAUGUACUCAAAACUUGAAUUAAAGCACUGCAAUUAAUCAAAACUACCACUCGGAUGUACCCCUGUAAUUCCGUCAAUUCCCCUGGCAGGUCUCGGCGACACACAGUCUAUCCGAGCCGCAAAUCCUGGCAGAUACAGGGACUAUAGUCAGCCUGAUCCGCAAUCCUGGCAGUCUCGGGGACACGAAGUCAGCCGAGCCGCAAAUUCUGGCAGUCUCGGGACUGCCGAGCCGCAAUCUUGCAGGUCUCGGGGACACGAAGUCAGCCGCGUCGCAAUCCUGGCAGGUCUCGGGACAUCAAGUCUGCCGAGCCGCAAAUUCUGGCACUCACGGUCCGAGCGUCCCCGAAACUCGUGAGGCAAUGUCAAGUGCACUGACAGAACUGUAAAUAGACUGGAUGUCCGUAGACAUCGGUCCAUCUGAGGGUAAUCACCAUCGCUGGGUACACACGGUGGUUAAAAAUAAAUAUUUUAGAAAAAUCUGAUAAAUCACUGUAUUUGGCAAGUCUGAAACUAAGCUGCUAUUUUCUCUGAUAUAAAUCUCAACUCUGCUUUCUGUCACUUUCUACCAUGUUCAACUAAAUAGCAUAGAAAUAAAGAUAUUUGACGGCACAAAUCAUGCUCGGAAAACAUUCGGUAAAACUUAUUCAAAAUCAAAUAAUGAAAUUUACUCAUAUAAACUCAUUUAUAAAAACUUAUUUAUAUAAAAUCAAUAUAAAAUCAUUUAUGUAAACUCAUUUAUAUAAAGCAUUUAUAUAACUCAUUUAUAUAAAAUCAUUUAUGAAAGAAAGUCCACUCACUCCUGGUCCAAGCUCGCUAGACCUCCUGACGGUCUCUCCUGCGGGCCUGUCUGGUCCCGGGUGCCUGGGUAAACCAUCAUGAAUGUUUGAUUAAUAAAACUGCUCGGUAUAACUUUUUAAGUAAAACUCUGACCUCCGACUUCUAGAAGUGCGUGCACUAACUUUAAAGUCAUUUUCUUGCCCACUUAGGUAUUUCAGGUAUUUACAAUCGUCUGAAAAGACUCAAGACUUCAUUAAGCGAUAAACUUCCACCUUGGUCGAGACGGAACCCCGUGGGGUCCACGACCUCCAAUGACCAAUCUGAGAGUUCCUUUAAGUUCCUCACGUUUAAGGAACCAUAUCCUGCAAGUUUGGUCUGAAACUGACGAUUGGAUUGACCACGAUCGUGAAAUCAUAAAAUUUCCAAACCCUAGCCCCAGGGUUCGCGAUUUCGGAGUAUCCGGGACUCCGAUUCACGAUCCGUCGAAUCCUACACGAUUCUGAAAUUAUCUGGAACAACAUAUCCGAAAUUGAGCGCGAUCCAACGGUUCGGUAAUAUUGAACCCGGGAAUCGCACAAUAUGGAAAAUCCGUUCGGGGCUCAAACGGAAUCCAAAUUGAGAUCCGCGAAAUCCUAUGCACUCGUGACAACAUAAGGAUCGCAACAAGACACAGUGCCACUGCACUACCCUCACCCACGAGCCCCAGCACGCGCCGGCAGCGAUGGGUGUCUGAAGCGAUUUCGGCUCGCCGGAAAAACUUCAAAUCACGGCUCCAAACUCCUACCCUAGGUAAAACACCAUAUUUGGAGCCACUUUUGUUCUUAGACCUACCCCAAAACGUGGCCGGAAGUGGCCGCAAACGGAGGCCGAAAAUCGGCUGAAACUUCAAUCUCAAAAAUCCGAUGGCUACGCUAUUAAUCGAUCUAAUCCUACCCAACAGGCAGCUAGAACAGCUCGAGAGGUUCAAGAUCCAUACCUGGGGCGACAGAAAUGGUGGCCGGAAGAGGGAGAUCGGCGGCCUUAAAGUUUCGGUGAGUUCCCGUCGCUUUUCUGCAGUUUCCGGCCAGCACAGGCCGUACAGCCAGCCGGGAAUGGUCGGAAAAGGUAGGGGACUCGACGGCGGUUCCAUCGCCACCGGUCCCGUGGCCGGUGGUGCCCUGAGGCGGCGCCAGCAAGCUCUGGAAGGCGGCGGGCAGUUUUUGCGCGAGAGGAGAGAGCUGGCUGGUUUUUAUAGAUUCAACUUCGAAAUAUUUACGGUUAUGCCACUGAGACUCUUUUGACCAUAACUUUCUCGUUACAACUCCGAUUCAGGCCCAUUACGUGUCUACGAACUCGUUUCACCGUGCUCUACGUAAUGGCCCAAAUGGAAUUGUCACCUUUUUCUUAAUAAAAUAUUAUGAGGGCAAAAUUGUCUUUUCGCAAAAUAAAAUAUUCCUUAAUUAUGAAUUUUUGGUUUGGGAUAUUACAAUCUCUCACUCUCACUCACUCUCUCAUCUCUCUUUUCACUAUCUCUCACUCUCACUCACUCUCUCAUCUCUCUAUCACUAUCUUCUCUAAUUCUCUCACACUCACUUCUCC
This 2862-nucleotide long non-coding RNA is filed under the name Prunus persica (peach). RNAcentral describes it as "long non-coding RNA (PPER_LNC007213)". Lineage: Eukaryota; Viridiplantae; Streptophyta; Magnoliopsida; Rosales; Rosaceae. The record is from RNAcentral.